GUGUGUGGCACCCCGAAGGCACCAGAUCAUGUCCUAUGUCAGAAACUGGGUGGGGUUGGGCCUGGUUAGUGCUCGGAUGGGAAAUCACUUGAGAAUACUGGGUGCCAUAUGCU
Molecule: ribosomal RNA, 113 nt
Filed under: Notamacropus eugenii (tammar wallaby)
Lineage: Eukaryota; Metazoa; Chordata; Mammalia; Diprotodontia; Macropodidae
Source: RNAcentral